AUAAUGUAAGUUAUACCCUAUAAUUUUAGCUUAUCUCCUGGAAAGCGUGUAUAGGGGCAACUCUAUCAGGGGUUCAAAUCCCCUUCUCUCCGCCA
This 95-nucleotide transfer RNA is filed under the name Clostridium beijerinckii. RNAcentral's name for it is "tRNA-Ser". Lineage: Bacteria; Bacillati; Bacillota; Clostridia; Eubacteriales; Clostridiaceae. The record is from RNAcentral.